CGCUGAAAUUUUUAGCGAUCAGUC
RNAcentral lists this non-coding RNA (24 nucleotides) under Arabidopsis thaliana (thale cress). Lineage: Eukaryota; Viridiplantae; Streptophyta; Magnoliopsida; Brassicales; Brassicaceae. The record is from RNAcentral.